CCCGCGAUAGCUCAGUUGGUAGAGCGGAGGACUGUAGUGGUUUGACCAAUGGUCAUCCUUAGGUCGCUGGUUCAAAUCCGGCUCGCGGGA
This 90-nucleotide transfer RNA is filed under the name Dreissena polymorpha. It matches the Rfam family "tRNA". Rfam says of the family: Transfer RNA (tRNA) molecules are approximately 80 nucleotides in length. Their secondary structure includes four short double-helical elements and three loops (D, anti-codon, and T loops). Lineage: Eukaryota; Metazoa; Mollusca; Bivalvia; Myida; Dreissenidae. The record is from Rfam by way of RNAcentral.